ACCGAUAGCGAACAAGUACUGCGAGGGAAAGAUGAAAAGGACUUUGAAAAGAGAGUCAAAGAGUGCUUGAAAUUAUCGAGAGGGAAGCGGAUGGGGGCCGGCGAUGCGCCCCGGUCGGAUGUGGAACAGCGAGAGUCGGUCCGCCGAUCGGAUCGGGGCGUGCACCGACGCGGGUCGUGGCGGCGGCCCAAGCUCGGGCCUUUAAUAUGCCUGUGGAGACGUCGUCGCCUCGAUCGUGGGAUCCAGCACGCACCGUCUCGGCGUACUUCGGCACCUGCUUGCUCCGGGCGUCGGCCUCCGGGCUCCCCAUUCGGCCCGUCUUGAAACACGGACCAAGGAGUCUGACAUGUGUG
Molecule: non-coding RNA, 353 nt
Filed under: Gossypium arboreum
Lineage: Eukaryota; Viridiplantae; Streptophyta; Magnoliopsida; Malvales; Malvaceae
Description: Eukaryotic large subunit ribosomal RNA
Rfam family: Eukaryotic large subunit ribosomal RNA
Source: Rfam by way of RNAcentral